GCCAGUGAGCUUUCUGGCUCCAACAUCUGUGAAAGAGCCACAGCUCCCAGGGCUUAUCAGCCACUUUCAGUGUGAGCAUGCCUGUCAAACAUCCCAGGCACAGGAGGCGCUAGGCUGAAAGGAGUGACAAGAUGCGGGAGUGGAAGGACCGUGACCCUGGGGACCCCAAAUGGAGCAAAUGGCUUCCUAAAGCCCCAGCUUUUGCAUCUGUAAUGAGCAGUGACAGCUCCCACCUCAUGAGAAUGCCGUGGGGUUAAUGAAGCUGGGUGACCAGCUAUUCCAGUUUGAGUGUCCCAGAAAACUCCUCCAUUGUUGACAAACUGAGAAGCUGAC
RNAcentral lists this long non-coding RNA (333 nucleotides) under Homo sapiens (human). RNAcentral's name for it is "non-protein coding lnc-GDF10-1:1". Lineage: Eukaryota; Metazoa; Chordata; Mammalia; Primates; Hominidae. The record is from RNAcentral.